GAUGAAGAACGUAGCGAAAUGCGAUAAGUAAUGUGAAUUGGAGAAUUCAGUGAAUCAUCGAAUCUUUGAACGCACAUUGCGCCCCCUGGUAUUCCGGGGGGCAUGCCUGUUCGAGCGUCAUUUCACCACUCAAGCCUCGCUUGGUAUUGGGCAUCGCGGUCCGCCGCGCGCCUCAAAUCGACCGGCUGGGUCUUCUGUCCCCUAAGCGUUGUGGAAACUAUUCGCUAAAGGGUGUUCGGGAGGCUACGCCGUAAAACAACCCCAUUUCUAAGGUUGACCUCGGAUCAGGUAGGGAUACCCGCUGAACUUAAGCAUAUCAAUAAGCGGAGGA
This 331-nucleotide unclassified non-coding RNA is filed under the name soil metagenome. RNAcentral's name for it is "partial contains 5.8S ribosomal RNA, internal transcribed spacer 2, and large subunit ribosomal RNA". The stretch from base 1 to 120 matches the Rfam family "5.8S ribosomal RNA", at positions 35 to 154 of the family's 154-position model. The record is from RNAcentral.